Long non-coding RNA from Pteronotus mesoamericanus, 986 nucleotides. RefSeq lists it as uncharacterized. The record is from RefSeq and is a predicted model, not a curated record. The transcript is spliced from 2 exons. Lineage: Eukaryota; Metazoa; Chordata; Mammalia; Chiroptera; Mormoopidae.
CAGGUCCCCAGCCCCCGCCACCCCGGUGCCGACCCCUCUCACCCUUCCAUUCUGUGUCCGGGGCCUGGCGCAGGCCGGCGAAUCCCCGGCCUCACAUCAGAGAGGCGCUGGCAAUGGACUAGGAAGCUCGGCUGCCGCUGCUACUGCUCCCCACUAGGCUCCGGCAAGAGCCUUUCCCUGUCAAGCAAGAGGGGUGAGGAUCAUAUUUUUAUUUUGGAAACUAAAAAGUGCUCCCAGGGUCGGUGAUUAUUAAGGGGAAAUCCCUGAAUAUACUCUCCAGCCAAGAAGGCAGGGCUGCCGGGGCUGCACAAGAAGAGGCAGCAGCCUCCUACAGCACCACUACAGGCACUGCGAGGACAUAACACCAGAGAGCCGCUCCUCUGCCCUCCGAAACGACAACUUUCCUACCAUCUUGGAGGCAGAGGAAAGGGGGGCCAGGGGGAAAAGUGCACCCGCUCCCGACAAAGUACAAAUUUCUACUUCUCAUCUCUGGAAAAAAGUCCACACCGGCCGUCUACAGCAGCGCCUGGGGGAGAAAGCAGGGAAGAAACUGGGGGUGCUUGAGAAACGUUUUCAUUUGCACCAGGGGGAAAAAUGUUUCUGCAUCUUCUGAUGGAAAGAAAUCUUUACAAGACCCAGGUUUUCCGGUGAUUAUUGUUUUCUGUUUUCUGUUUUUUCCAUGUUAGUGACGGUGGUAUUUUAAUUUUUUUUUCAGGCUUCUAAUGAUUUUUCUCCGUUACAGAUGUAAGUUCUGUGUCUGGUGGUCAGGUUAUAAAUUUGUACUUAAACAGACUUCAUAGCCACUUUGUCUUUGUCUAUCUAUUUAGUUAUAUGUUUUUGUACAUAUAGAUAUGUUUUCCUUAUAUAUAAAAUGUUGUGUUAAAUAUUCCCCUCACAACUGAGAUUGCUGAAAGACAAUUGUAAAGGAUGUCUUUUGUCUCCUUUUCUCAAAGCAGUAUAAAUAAAACCUAUUGACUGUCCAGAAA